RNAcentral lists this long non-coding RNA (4515 nucleotides) under Sus scrofa (pig). RNAcentral describes it as "lncRNA (ENSSSCG00035076708.1)". The record is from RNAcentral. Lineage: Eukaryota; Metazoa; Chordata; Mammalia; Artiodactyla; Suidae.
CUUGCUCAGUGGGUUAAAGACCUGGCAUUGCCAUGAGCUGUGGUGUAGUUUCCAGACACGGCUUGGAUCCCGCAUUGCUGCAGUUCUGAUGUAGACCAGCAGCUGCAGCUCCAAUUCAGCCUCUAGCCUGGGAAUCUCCAUGUGCUGCUGGUGUGGCCCUUAAAGACAAAAAAAAAAAAAAAAAAAAAAAAAAANCAUGAUCAUCUCAAAAGACACAGAAAAAUAAUUUGACAAAAUUCAACAUUCAUUUUUGAUAAAAACUUUCAACAAAGUACUUGCAGAGGGAGCAUAUAACAUAAUAAAGGCCAUUUAUGAAAACCCAUAGGUGACAUCACACUCAAUGGUAAAAUACUGAACACUUUUCCUCUAAAAUCAGGAAUAAGACAAGGGUACCCACUCUUGCCAUUUCUACUUAACAUAGUAUUGGAAGUUCUAGCCACAGUAAUCAAGCAAUAAAAAGAAAAAAGAAGUAGCCAAAUUGGAAGGGAGAAAACAAAACUCUCCCUAUUUGUUGAUGACGUGAUACUAUAUAUAGUUUUCUAAUGUCUUCACAAAAAAACUAUUAGAACUAAUAGAUGAAUUCAGUAAAAUUGCAGGAUUCAAGAUUAGUGUACAGAUCACUUUCUUUUCUAUACACUAAUAAUGAACUUUUGAAAGAGAAAGUGAGAAAACAAGCACAUUUUCAAUCACAUCAAAAAUAAUAAAAUACCUAGGAAUAAACUUAACCAAGGAGUGAAAGACCUAUACUCUGAAAACUAUAAAAUACUAAUGAAGGAAAUUGAAGCUGAUAUAAAGAAAUGGAAAGAUAUCCCAUGUUCAUGGACUGGAAGAAUUAAUAUUGUUAAAAUAUCCAUAUACCCAAAGCAAUCAACAGAUUUAAUGCAAUCCCAAUCAAAAUACCCAUGACAUUUUUCACCAAAUGGAACAAAUAAUCCUAAAAUUUUUAUAGUUAGAAAAGAACAGUAACCAAAGCAAUCUUGAGAAAAAAAGACCUUAGCUGGGUGCAUCGUGCUUCCCAUUAGAAUACAAUGAAAGCUACAAUAAUUAAGACAAUGUUUUACUGGCAUAAAAACCAAAUGCAUAGAUCAAUGUAAAAGGAUGGAGAUCCCAGGAAUAAACCCACCCCCCUGACAGUCAAUUAGACUAGGACAAAGAUGGCAGAAUUAUACAGUGGGAAAGAAAAUAUUUUCUUUCUUUUUUUUUUAAAAAAAAAUAUUUGUUUCUCAGAGUUCCCAUCAUGGCUCAGUGUUAACAAAUCUGACUAGGAACCACAAGGUUGCUGGUAUUUGUAACUUGGCCCCCAUGCUGUACAGUGGAAAAAAUAAAUAAAUAAAUAAAUAUCAAACAACCUAUGCAAAAAAUAGGCAGAAUAUCUUUACAUAUAUUUUUUUCAAAGAAGACAAGCAGAUGGCUAACAGGCACAUGAAUAGAUGCUUGACAUCACUAAUCAUCAUGGAAAUGCAAAUCAAAACCACAUUGAGAUAUAAUGUCUCCACAAUUUAAUUUAACAGAGAAACAGCUGAUCUGGAAAUUAUUUCAACAGUAGCUACCCAUAAUAAUAUGCUAAUGAUUCAAAGGGAAUGUUAUUUAUGCCAACAGUGUUAGUAUAAUUUUAGUCCACAAAAAAGGUAGAAUAUGCUACCUAUAACAUGCUGAAAUAUAUCAUGGAUUAUAAACUUUGUGAAGUAAGGGAGGAAAAAAUUCUUUUUCCUUCUUUCUGAGGUGCUCCAGCAGAGGCCCUAUAAAUUAGAUGGACAAAAGACAGAUUAACAAGAGAAAAAUGAACAGAAAUUUAUUAACAUGUACAUGGAGUAUGUUAACAUAUGGGGGUACCCAGAAAUGAGUAACACAGAAAGUUGUGGUUAGAAUUUGGAGUCUAUAUAGCUAACCUAGUAGAGGAAAGAGAGGGAAAGAAAGGGCAAGUAUGGAAAAGCAAGUAACUUUCUGUAAUGACAAAAGGAGAAUAAAUGGGAGAAAGAGUAGUUUGUGACAGUGUCUGGCUGGGUGUGGUGCUCCUAAAGAGAAGAUUAGAGCAUCUAGGGAAUUAUGACAAUUGAGUUCUUUGGGGAGGCUCUACUUUUAAGCAGAUAAAAGAUUUCAGGAAUUCAAACGCAUCCAGUUCAAAAUAAUUCUUAUACCAAAGUUCCAUAGUUUGAGUUGGUAUGUCCUGGUUCCCAUCAGUGACAUCUUUUUAGCCUUCAUACAGUCCUCAUGUAUUGUACGAUCUGGAAUAUAUUUAACCAUGUCCAUGGUCUGCCUGCCCUACUCUGGGGCCACAUGUUAUGUUACUCAUAAUGGGUACCUAGUAAUUAUAUACUGAAAAUUUUGGAAGGCACUUGAUAAAUGUUUAUUUAAUUUGAUUUAGGGUGAUCAAAGUAGUUUAAAUAAGAAUAUCUAGAAAUAUGGUUAUUAUCAUUAUAAAGCCUAUGAUGGCCUCCAGAAAAAGACAAGUAGAUAAUUCAGAAUUGUAUUGAUGAGAAUAAAGUAAUAUCAAUCAUAUCAAAUGAUAAGUGCUUAAUAGUAGGCCAGCUUGACUUCAGCUUAGUCCUUUUGGUAGCUCAUUAUGCUUUUGUCACAGUCUUUUGAGGUCCUUGUGGAUUGUUUGUUUAUAUCAUUCCAGCCAGCAGUCUCAACUCAGCCCCUGGUUUAUGCAUGAUAUACAUGUUGUCUGUUGCAAUACACAGGGUCCACAUAAGAUGUCAGCUAGUGUAUCUGGCAAUGCUAGGUAUAAUGAACCACAUCCUCUGUUAUUUGCUUGCUCCAAAGUUUUCACAAUACUUCCCUGAAUCUGUGACUAUCCCAGUAUCAGUUCAUUCUCCAGCAUACAGCAGGUAGAUCUACUGAAAAUUCUAUAAAUCAUAUAUGGGAAUAAACAUCAGAGAAGUGAGCAGUUAUAAUUUACCCAUCAAGUUUGAUUAUGCAAAUAAUACCCCUGAUCAUUUCUCUCAAUCUUCAGAACAACUUUGUGAAGUAGUCAAGGCAGGGUAUUGGAAGGCUAUUGCCACAAUAAUGCUAUUUAACAAAUAACUACAAAAUCUAAGUGGUAUAAAAUAUAAGCAUGUAUUUCUUACUCACAGGUCUUCAGGUCUGCUGGAAUAGGCCUUAUUCAAACUUCAAGUUAAGGUCAGCUAUGUUCUGUGGCCCACACUGAGGAGGAAGCAACUACCUAGAGCACAUCCAUUUGGCUGAGAUCAAAAGUUUUCAGAGGAGCAAGUAAAGGACACAAUGCCACAUACUCCUUCGGUGUAAAAUUGGCCCACUGUCAUUUCCACUGGUAUUCUGCUGGCCAUGUUGCGUGGCCAUCUGUGGUUUGCAAUAUGUUCUCUCUACUACCUAGAUUGGCUUUAUUUGAAAAAAUUCACAUAAAAUCAUCCAAAGUUAACAAAAUGAUACAUUGAACCAUACUUACAGACAAAAAUUUGUCCCCUCCCUUAUUCAUAAGAUUUAUUUUGCGUUAUAGAGCUCAAAUUUAUGAGCAGUUUAGGGGAAAUAUCUGCCCCUAAAUUGCUGCUGGUAUUUUGUAAAGGACAUUGUGUCAUUGGGUCUUCCUGAAAGAAGCCCUAGGUAAAAUAUUUCUUUCACACUAACUGCUAAGAAAAACUUUACUUCCUCUGUACAAUUGAUAUGUUCUUUUUCCUUCAUGAUAACUCUGUGAUUGUGUUGUUCACUGCCCUUUGAGUGUCAAGAUUUUUUUCAGAACCAAGUUUUCACCUAUAAAAAAUCAAUGGGAUUUUAUAAUCCUCCGAAUUACUCUCUGGAUCCUGCCAUUCUAUUAUAAUUUACAUUUUACUUGUUUUGAUUCUUCUUUUUAUAUAUCACAUUAUAUGCAUUUUUUUUCUAUAAGCCAUAUUAUGUCUUUUUGGAAUGAAGCAAGAUAGAAGGCAGAACAAAACAAAUAAAUAAAACUAUACCCUGCCAAAUAUAUGUGAUUAAGAAGAGAGAAAUCAGCUGGUCUGUUUUUCUGCUUUCUAAUUUUAUUAAUUGCCAUUGGUAGAAAGAUAUUUUGUUAAUAAUCAAAAUUAAAUAUUUGGAGAUUAAUUUUUCUAAAAGAAUUUAAGGAUAGACUCAAAGGGGAUUCAGUGAAUUAUCUCUAAGUCUCCCCUCUGACACUAUCCCCUCCCUAAGUCUCUCCUCUCCCCACCUCCAAUCUGAACCCACAAAAGGAUGUGAGCUUUCUUUUCUCCUAUUAAUUCUUAUCACCCUGCUUCUGACUUCAUGGGUAUGGUUUAAAUAGCUUCCAUAACUAGGAUUUAAAAAGGAAGCAUAUGGAGUUCCCAUCAUGGCUCAGUGGUUAACGAAUCCGACUAGGAACCAUGAGAUUGCGGGUUCAAUCCCUGGCCUUUCUCAGUGGGUUAAGGAUCCAGCUUGCCAUGAGCUAUGGUGUAGGUUGCAGACGUGGCUCAGAUGCCACAUUGCUGUGGCUCUUGUGUAGGCCGGUGGCUACAGCUCUGAUUAGACCCCUAGCCUGGGAACCUCCAUAUGCUGCAGAAGUGGCCCUAGAAAUGGCAAAAAGAC